AUGAAAGUAGUGUUUGAUACA
This 21-nucleotide non-coding RNA is filed under the name Arabidopsis thaliana (thale cress). The record is from RNAcentral. Lineage: Eukaryota; Viridiplantae; Streptophyta; Magnoliopsida; Brassicales; Brassicaceae.